This 894-nucleotide ribosomal RNA is filed under the name Rathayibacter sp. RNAcentral describes it as "bacterial SSU rRNA". It matches the Rfam family "Bacterial small subunit ribosomal RNA", at positions 565 to 1458 of the family's 1533-position model. Lineage: Bacteria; Bacillati; Actinomycetota; Actinomycetes; Micrococcales; Microbacteriaceae. The record is from RNAcentral.
GAGCUCGUAGGCGGUUUGUCGCGUCUGCUGUGAAAACCCGAGGCUCAACCUCGGGCCUGCAGUGGGUACGGGCAGACUAGAGUGCGGUAGGGGAGAAUGGAAUUCCUGGUGUAGCGGUGGAAUGCGCAGAUAUCAGGAGGAACACCGAUGGCGAAGGCAGUUCUCUGGGCCGUUACUGACGCUGAGGAGCGAAAGCGUGGGGAGCGAACAGGAUUAGAUACCCUGGUAGUCCACGCCGUAAACGUUGGGAACUAGAUGUGGGGACCUUUCCACGGUCUCCGUGUCGCAGCUAACGCAUUAAGUUCCCCGCCUGGGGAGUACGGCCGCAAGGCUAAAACUCAAAGGAAUUGACGGGGGCCCGCACAAGCGGCGGAGCAUGCGGAUUAAUUCGAUGCAACGCGAAGAACCUUACCAAGGCUUGACAUAUACCGGAAACUUCCAGAAAUGGUUGCCCCGCAAGGUCGGUAUACAGGUGGUGCAUGGUUGUCGUCAGCUCGUGUCGUGAGAUGUUGGGUUAAGUCCCGCAACGAGCGCAACCCUCGUUCUAUGUUGCCAGCACGUCAUGGUGGGAACUCAUAGGAGACUGCCGGGGUCAACUCGGAGGAAGGUGGGGAUGACGUCAAAUCAUCAUGCCCCUUAUGUCUUGGGCUUCACGCAUGCUACAAUGGCCGGUACAAAGGGCUGCGAUACCGUAAGGUGGAGCGAAUCCCAAAAAGCCGGUCUCAGUUCGGAUUGAGGUCUGCAACUCGACCUCAUGAAGUCGGAGUCGCUAGUAAUCGCAGAUCAGCAACGCUGCGGUGAAUACGUUCCCGGGCCUUGUACACACCGCCCGUCAAGUCAUGAAAGUCGGUAACACCCGAAGCCAGUGGCCUAACCGCAAGGAGGGAGCUGUCG